GCCAACGUAGCUCAAUCGGCAGAGCAGCGCAUUCGUAAUGCGCAGGUUGUCGGUUCGAGUCCGACCGUUGGCUCCA
This 76-nucleotide transfer RNA is filed under the name Candidatus Latescibacterota bacterium. RNAcentral describes it as "tRNA-Thr". It matches the Rfam family "tRNA". From Rfam's summary of the family: Transfer RNA (tRNA) molecules are approximately 80 nucleotides in length. Lineage: Bacteria; Pseudomonadati; Candidatus Latescibacterota. The record is from RNAcentral.